GGGGGGGCAAGCGUUGUUCGGAAUUACUGGGCGUAAAGGGCUCGUAGGCGGCCAACUAAGUCGGACGUGAAAUCCCUCGGCUCAACCGAGGAACUGCGUCUGAUACUGGAUGGCUUGAGUCCGGGAGAGGGAUGCGGAAUUCCAGGUGUAGCGGUGAAAUGCGUAGAUAUCUGGAGGAACACCGGUGGCGAAGGCGGCAUCCUGGACCGGCACUGACGCUGAGGAGCGAAAGCCAGGGGAGCAAACGGGGAUUAGAUACCCCGGUAGUCCUGGCCCUAAACGAUGAAUGCUUGGCGUGGCGGGUAUCGAUCCCUGCCGUGCCGAAGCUAACGCGAUAAGCAUUCCGCCUGGGGAGUACGGUCGCAAGGCUG
Molecule: ribosomal RNA, 371 nt
Filed under: uncultured organism
Description: partial 16S ribosomal RNA
Rfam family: Bacterial small subunit ribosomal RNA
Source: RNAcentral